RNAcentral lists this ribosomal RNA (330 nucleotides) under uncultured eukaryote. RNAcentral's name for it is "partial 18S ribosomal RNA". It matches the Rfam family "Eukaryotic small subunit ribosomal RNA", at positions 1470 to 1796 of the family's 1831-position model. The record is from RNAcentral.
CCCUUAGAUGUUCGGGGCCGCACGCGCGCUACACUGAAGGAAUCAGCACGUCUUUCUCCUUGUCCGAAAGGACUGGGUAACCCGCUGAACCUCCUUCGUGCUAGGGAUUGGGGCUUGUAAUUCUUCCCCAUGAACGAGGAAUUCCCAGUAAGCGCGAGUUAUAAGCUCGCGUUGAUUACGUCCCUGCCCUUUGUACACACCGCCCGUCGCUACUACCGAUUGGAUGGUUUAGUGAGAUCCUCGGAUUGGUCCCGGAGCGGCCUCUGGUCGUGCCGGAGUGCCGAAAAGAAUGUCGAACUUGAUCAUCUAGAGGAAGUAAAAGUCGUAACA